GCUUGCUAAAAAGAGUCGAGCGGACAGAUGGGAGCUUGCUCCCUGAUGUUAGCGGCGGACGGGUGAGUAACACGUGGGUAACCUGCCUGUAAGACUGGGAUAACUCCGGGAAACCGGGGCUAAUACCGGAUGGUUGUUUGAACCGCAUGGUUCAGACAUAAAAGGUGGCUUCGGCUACCACUUACAGAUGGACCCGCGGCGCAUUAGCUAGUUGGUGAGGUAACGGCUCACCAAGGCAACGAUGCGUAGCCGACCUGAGAGGGUGAUCGGCCACACUGGGACUGAGACACGGCCCAGACUCCUACGGGAGGCAGCAGUAGGGAAUCUUCCGCAAUGGACGAAAGUCUGACGGAGCAACGCCGCGUGAGUGAUGAAGGUUUUCGGAUCGUAAAGCUCUGUUGUUAGGGAAGAACAAGUGCCGUUCAAAUAGGGCGGCACCUUGACGGUACCUAACCAGAAAGCCACGGCUAACUACGUGCCAGCAGCCGCGGUAAUACGUAGGUGGCAAGCGUUGUCCGGAAUUAUUGGGCGUAAAGGGCUCGCAGGCGGUUUCUUAAGUCUGAUGUGAAAGCCCCCGGCUCAACCGGGGAGGGUCAUUGGAAACUGGGGAACUUGAGUGCAGAAGAGGAGAGUGGAAUUCCACGUGUAGCGGUGAAAUGCGUAAAGAUGUGGAGGAACACCAGUGGCGAAGGCGACUCUCUGGUCUGUAACUGACGCUGAGGAGCGAAAGCGUGAGGAGCGAACAGGAUUAGAUACCCUGGUAGUCCACGCCGUAAACAAUGAGUGCUAAGUGUUAGGAGGUUUCCGCCCCUAGUGCUGCAGCUAUCGCAUUAUUCACUCCGCCCCGCGAGUACGGGCGCGGGAGGAAUAUCAAAAGAAAUAACAAGACCCCCCCAACCUUUUGACCACAGGGUUUCUCAAACCACCGCCACAAGAUUUA
Molecule: ribosomal RNA, 940 nt
Filed under: Bacillus siamensis
Lineage: Bacteria; Bacillati; Bacillota; Bacilli; Caryophanales; Bacillaceae
Description: bacterial SSU rRNA
Rfam family: Bacterial small subunit ribosomal RNA (bases 1-844)
Source: RNAcentral